AGAGUUUGAUCCUGGCUCAGAACGAACGCUGGCGGCAGGCCUAACACAUGCAAGUCGAAGGUGAAGCCACCCUCGGGUGGUAGAAACUGGCGCACGGGUGAGUAACGCGUGGGAAUUUGCCUUGGGGUGGGGGAUAACCGCUGGAAACGGCGGCUAGUACCGCAUACGCCCUGCGGGGGAAAGAUUUAUCGCCCUGGGAGGAGCCCGCGUUGGAUUAGCUUGUUGGUGGGGUAAAGGCCCACCAAGGCGACGAUCCAUAGCUGGUCUGAGAGGAUGAUCAGCCACACUGGGACUGAGACACGGCCCAGACUCCUACGGGAGGCAGCAGUGGGGAAUAUUGGACAAUGGGCGAAAGCCUGAUCCAGCCAUGCCGCGUGAGUGAAGAAGGCCUUAGGGUUGUAAAGCUCUUUCACCCGUGAAGAUGAUGACGGUAGCGGGAGAAGAAGCCCCGGCUAACUCCGUGCCAGCAGCCGCGGUAAUACGGAGGGGGCUAGCGUUGUUCAGAAUUACUGGGCGUAAAGGGCGCGUAGGCGGCCUGUCAAGUCAGGGGUGAAAGGCCCGGGCUCAACCCGGGAACUGCCCUUGAAACUGGCAAGCUAGAGUCCGAGAGAGGAUGGCGGAAUUCCCAGUGUAGAGGUGAAAUUCGUAGAUAUUGGGAAGAACACCGGUGGCGAAGGCGGCCAUCUGGCUCGGUACUGACGCUGA
RNAcentral lists this ribosomal RNA (705 nucleotides) under uncultured bacterium. RNAcentral describes it as "bacterial SSU rRNA". It matches the Rfam family "Bacterial small subunit ribosomal RNA", at positions 8 to 749 of the family's 1533-position model. The record is from RNAcentral.